Molecule: ribosomal RNA, 813 nt
Filed under: uncultured fungus
Lineage: Eukaryota; Fungi
Description: eukaryotic LSU rRNA
Rfam family: Eukaryotic large subunit ribosomal RNA
Source: RNAcentral
CCCGCUGAACUUAAGCAUAUCAAUAGGCGCAGGAAAAGAAACUAACAAGGAUUUUCCGAGUAACGGCGAGUGAAAGGGAAUCAGCCCAGCACCGAAUCCGGCAGCGUCUCGUUGCACGGACCUGUGGUGUUUAGGCAAGCCUUUCCGGUGGUUUGUGGCAGACCGAGUCCUUUUGAGUAAGGCCAUUACCCAUAGCGGGUGCAAGGCCCAUAGGUCAGCUCACUCUGCCGGUUAGCGCUGCCUUGGAGUCGGUUUGCUUGAGAGUGCAGACCAAAGCAGGAGGUAAAUCUUUCCUAAGGCUAAAUACUACCGCGAGACCGAUAGCAAACAAGUACCGUGAGGGAAAGUUGCAAAGAACUUUGAAGAGAGAGUUCAACAGGGCGUGAAACCGUUUGGAAGCAAACGAAUGGCACUGACAUUACGUUCGCUCGGAUUCAGCCGUUCUGACAGUGGAUCGCUGGCUGUGCCGAUCGCAAGACGGCUUGCUGGCUGCUUCGUCCGCUUAGGAACGGUGCACUUUCGGUGAACUGCGUCACGACCGACAACUAGUCCGGCAAACGGCCGAUCGGUUGAAGACAAUGUGCUUCGGCUACGUUGUGACUAACCUUUCGGUGCUGUCCUGGUUUUGGUUGUCGGGAAUUGUUACCGCGCUCGCAUUCGUCUCACUAUUGUGCUGUUUUGUGGUCAAUUGAAAGGCGGCAGUGUGCGUGCACUCUGUUGCGAUGCUUGGCCUCAACUUCGGUGCUUGGUGAGUAGCGCAUAUGGUCAGUGACGUCCGAGUCAGUUACCCAUUCGACCCGUCUUGAAACACGG